Molecule: long non-coding RNA, 433 nt
Filed under: Struthio camelus australis
Lineage: Eukaryota; Metazoa; Chordata; Aves; Struthioniformes; Struthionidae
Description: lncRNA (ENSSCUG00000006716.1)
Source: RNAcentral
CUUUUUUUAAAUUUUCUAUUCCAAAGAAUUCCAUUUUAAAUUAGUUAUAUCAAGGCUUUUGUUAAGCAGGCUGUUUUAUAGACAAGGCAGCCUCAGGGCUUGCUUUUCAAACUUUGUGUCUCUCUGCAAAUUGUGUUUUGAUGCCAGUGGAAGUUUGUGUACAGGGGGCUUUCAGGGUCAAAUUCAGUUCUUGGCAGAGGCAGGUGGUUCAGCAAGAAUCAGCAGGGAGACUGCUUUGGAAGUCUUUUCAUGUAUUACUCUCCACAGCUGCAACGUCUCUGAAUGAAAAUUGAAGUCCAGGUCAAUAUUGUUACCUGCUGACUGCUUGUCUUUCUAUAAGAAAAAAAUUAUCUGCCUGCAAAACUACGUUUUUUUGCACAGUAUUGGUAAUGAGUUUAAUGACUUGAAUUUUAUUUUCUUUUUCUAUCAGCUG